UACGUAGGUGGCAAGCGUUGUCCGGAUUUAUUGGGUUUAAAGGGUGCGUAGGCGGCCCUGUAAGUCAGUGCUGAAAUACCCCGGCUUAACCGGGGGGGUGGCAUUGAUACUGCAGGGCUUGAGUACAGAUGAGGUAGGCGGAAUUGACGGUGUAGCGGUGAAAUGCGCAGAUAUCAGGAGGAACACCGGUGGCGAAGGCGGGUCUCUGGGCAACAACUGACGCUGAGGAGCGAAAGCGUGGGGAGCGAACAGG
Molecule: ribosomal RNA, 253 nt
Filed under: uncultured bacterium
Lineage: Bacteria
Description: partial 16S ribosomal RNA
Rfam family: Bacterial small subunit ribosomal RNA
Source: RNAcentral